RNAcentral lists this ribosomal RNA (373 nucleotides) under uncultured organism. RNAcentral describes it as "partial 16S ribosomal RNA". It matches the Rfam family "Bacterial small subunit ribosomal RNA", at positions 527 to 896 of the family's 1533-position model. The record is from RNAcentral.
GUAGGUGGCAAGCGUUGUCCGGAAUUAUUGGGCGUAAAGCGCGCGCAGGGCGGUCCUUUAAGUCUGAUGUGAAAGCCCACGGCUCAACCGUGGAGGGUCAUUGGAAACUGGGGGACUUGAGUACAGAAGAGGAAAGCGGAAUUCCAAGUGUAGCGGUGAAAUGCGUAGAGAUUUGGAGGAACACCAGUGGCGAAGGCGGCUUUCUGGUCUGUAACUGACGCUGAGGCGCGAAAGCGUGGGGAGCAAACAGGAUUAGAUACCCUGGUAGUCCACGCCGUAAACGAUGAGUGCUAAGUGUUACGGGGUUUCCGCCCCUUAGUGCUGCAGCUAACGCAUUAAGCACUCCGCCUGGGGAGUACGGCCGCAAAGGCUG